UCCAGGGUAGCCUAGUGGACAUGGCAUCUGCCCGGUAAGCGGAACAAUGUGGGUUCGAUUCCCAUCCCUGGAC
Cordylochernes scorpioides is the source of this 73-nucleotide non-coding RNA. NCBI's taxonomy places the organism in Eukaryota, Metazoa, Arthropoda, Arachnida, Pseudoscorpiones, Chernetidae. The record is from the annotation of a GenBank genome assembly.